Glycine soja is the source of this 1582-nucleotide long non-coding RNA. RefSeq lists it as uncharacterized. The record is from RefSeq and is a predicted model, not a curated record. NCBI's taxonomy places the organism in Eukaryota, Viridiplantae, Streptophyta, Magnoliopsida, Fabales, Fabaceae. The transcript is spliced from 2 exons.
UGCCUGAUCCAAAAUCUCCACCUCAGGCUGCUUUUAGAUUUGCAUGUCCCAAAAUAUCCCAUGCCUUUUGUUAUUUAAUAUUUAAACAUCCCCCCCUCCCUUUCCUCGUACUGUCUAAACAUGCCUAUCCUCCUCCAUCUUUCUCCCUUUCAGACACAAUUCUAACUCAAAAGCCCUAGCUAUCUUUGUUUUCUUUUUAAAAAAAAUUGCCCUAGCUAUCUAUACAGCUUUCUUGUUCAAAUAACCUAGACAGGAAUUGCUUUCUCCACAAGAUAUUUAUGCCACUAGGGCUAGGUUGCUUGUCGAUGGGUGACUAUACUAUGCCACUAUGCUUCAUGUGAUGGAUCAAUAAUUAAGAUCUAUAUUAUACUUCUUCCUUGCUUGUUUGUGUUUGAGUGUUGUAAUGCUUCAGAUACAAGCAUGGCCUACAAUAAUAGCCUUGCGAAAGAUAGUAAUUAGUUGUUUCUUGGAUAAUUAGAGUAGGGUUGUGUUCGAGGAUUGGUGGAAGAUAUGGAAGGGGCUCACUUCAGUCCAGUCCGAGUCGGUGAAAAAUGACUGAAACUCAGCUGCUGACUCGUUGGCUCGAGAGUUCACCAUUAAGAUAGAUUGAUGUUCGGCACUCACGCCAUGUAAUUAAGGUGGUGUGCUUCUGAUCCAACGAUGCGGGAGCUGCAUUCAGUCGUGACUGUCACGUCUUGGACUGAAGGGGCCUCUUCGUCUCCUACAUCCUUCACUCAUACAUACUUGCUUUUCUUCAGGAUAUUGUUUUCUUUUUAAUAGCUUAGUUAAUGUUAUUGUAGUGUACGCAGUUUUUGUGUGAAAUUUUCUAACAUAGAUACUAAGAGCCGAGCUAUAUAUUUACAGAAAAGUUCAAUUGAUUAAUUUUUGCAUUGUAGAAGAGCUGAAUGUUACAUUAUCUCCCUAUGUGAAAUUGAGAAAACCUGGGUGGUCCAAAGUUUAAGAUUGGAACCUACUAUUGUAAAGGAGCAAUAUCUCCAACGGCUGAUGGGAGAAGUGGAGGCAAAGUCGAACUUUCUAGUGCAAGAUCUGCUUAAUGUAGGACAAUGUCAAAGUGGUACUUUUGAGAUUCUUCAAACACAAAUCCCCAGCUGUUGAACAAGACCUGAAUUGAAAGCAGAUUGCAUCACGAGAAUUAAUGUCAACCAUGUUAUAAUUCCAUACAGAUUAAAUUAAUGUUAGCUAUACUCUUUGGGGGUGGUUACUGGUCAGUGUAUAAUUGCUUGAUCGGAAAUGUUCAGUGAAUCCAAUUUGUUUAUAUAUAAUUAAUUUGUCAUUGCUCUACUGAACUCAAGUUGUUGAGUUAACUGCAAACAUGAAAAUCUAAUAUGUUUGGUAGCAUUUUAUUUCUUCUUGUGACUAAAAGAGGUCUAAUAAAAGACCAUAAGAUUGUAGUAGGUGAAGCCUUGACUUCAGUUUUGCUUGCCUGCAAGUAAGUUGAAGGGAACUGCUGAAGGAAACCAUCAGUUCUAAGGAGUAGCCAGGAGAAGCAGGAGCUUAACCUCUGCAAGCCCUUUUUUUUUCUUUCUUUGUCUACAAUCAAUCAAAAGAACUUGAUGAUUUC